Cajanus cajan (pigeon pea) is the source of this 97-nucleotide non-coding RNA. NCBI's taxonomy places the organism in Eukaryota, Viridiplantae, Streptophyta, Magnoliopsida, Fabales, Fabaceae. The record is from RefSeq and is a predicted model, not a curated record.
UGCCAAUGUGGCUAACUUGUUGAAUAUAAGAGAUACUGAAAUGAGUAGCUUUCUUGUAGCAAUGGGUGAUAUUUCCCUGAGGAAAACUGGAGUGGAG